GCGGGAUUAGUUUAGUGGUAAAACGUGAGCUUCCCAAGCUCAAGUCGGGGGUUCGAUUCCCCCAUCCCGCA
This 71-nucleotide transfer RNA is filed under the name Pseudomonadota bacterium. RNAcentral's name for it is "tRNA-Gly". It matches the Rfam family "tRNA". Rfam says of the family: Transfer RNA (tRNA) molecules are approximately 80 nucleotides in length. Their secondary structure includes four short double-helical elements and three loops (D, anti-codon, and T loops). Lineage: Bacteria; Pseudomonadati; Pseudomonadota. The record is from RNAcentral. RNAcentral also lists the same sequence under 1 other name.